RNAcentral lists this ribosomal RNA (301 nucleotides) under uncultured bacterium. RNAcentral describes it as "partial 16S ribosomal RNA". It matches the Rfam family "Bacterial small subunit ribosomal RNA", at positions 509 to 809 of the family's 1533-position model. The record is from RNAcentral.
CAGUCGCCGCGGUAAUACAGAGGAUCCAAGCGUUAUCCGGAAUCAUUGGGUUUAAAGGGUCCGUAGGCGGUCUUGUAAGUCAGUGGUGAAAGCCCAUCGCUCAACGGUGGAACGGCCAUUGAUACUGCAGGACUUGAAUUAUUGGGAAGUAACUAGAAUAUGUAGUGUAGCGGUGAAAUGCUUAGAGAUUACAUGGAAUACCAAUUGCGAAGGCAGGUUACUACCAAUUGAUUGACGCUGAUGGACGAAAGCGUGGGUAGCGAACAGGAUUAGAUACCCCAGUAGUCCCUGUCUCUUAUAU